AAUUCUCAACCUCACCAUUUUUGUAAUGAGAAUGUGUGUAGGCUUGGAUGUGGGGGUUGCAGGUCCACUCUGUGGUCUGCUCCUCUGAAAUGUAUUAGUGGGUUUGGUCCCCUAUCUAUUGGUGUGAUAAUUAUCUACGCCGUGGACUGGAAGACUAUUAUUAUGAACCUGCUUCUAACCGUCCUUUACCGGACAAUACUUGACAU
This 206-nucleotide unclassified non-coding RNA is filed under the name Coprinopsis semitalis. RNAcentral's name for it is "partial internal transcribed spacer 2". The record is from RNAcentral. Lineage: Eukaryota; Fungi; Basidiomycota; Agaricomycetes; Agaricales; Psathyrellaceae.